AUUGAACGCUGGCGGCAUGCCUUACACAUGCAAGUCGAACGGCAGCAUGGAGAGCUUGCUCUCUGAUGGCGAGUGGCGAACGGGUGAGUAAAGCAUCGGAACGUACCGUGUAAUGGGGGAUAACGUAGCGAAAGUUACGCUAAUACCGCAUACGACCUGAGGGUGAAAGCAGGGGAUCGCAAGACCUUGCGUUAUACGAGCGGCCGAUGUCAGAUUAGCUAGUUGGUAGGGUAAAGGCCUACCAAGGCGACGAUCUGUAGCGGGUCUGAGAGGAUGAUCCGCCACACUGGGACUGGGACACGGCCCAGACUCCUACGGGAGGCAGCAGUGGGGAAUUUUGGACAAUGGGGGCAACCCUGAUUCAGCCAUGCCGCGUGAGUGAAGAAGGCCUUCGGGUUGUAAAGCUCUUUCGGCCGGGAAGAAAUCGCACAGGCUAAUACUCUGUGUGGAUGACGGUACCGGCAUAAGAAGCACCGGCUAACUACGUGCCAGCCGCCGCCGUAA
Molecule: ribosomal RNA, 504 nt
Filed under: uncultured bacterium
Lineage: Bacteria
Description: partial 16S ribosomal RNA
Rfam family: Bacterial small subunit ribosomal RNA
Source: RNAcentral